GGACUACUAGGGUAUCUAAUCCCGUUCGCUCCCCUAGCUUUCGCACCCGAGCGUCAGUUGCUUCCCAGGAUGGUGCCUUCGCCUUUGGUGUUCUUCCGGAUCUCUACGCAUUUCACCACUCCACCCGGAAUUCCCCAUCCCUCUGAAGCCCUCAAGUCUCCCAGUUUCCACAGGCCUGACCCGGUUAAGCCGGACCCUGUCCCUGCAGACUUGGCAGACCGCCUGCGUGCGCUUUACGCCCAGUAACUCCGGACAACGCUCGCCUCCUACGUAUUACCGCGGCUGCUGGCAC
This 292-nucleotide ribosomal RNA is filed under the name uncultured bacterium. Its description in RNAcentral is "partial 16S ribosomal RNA". The record is from RNAcentral.